Aethalodelphis obliquidens (Pacific white-sided dolphin) is the source of this 104-nucleotide small nuclear RNA. The record is from RefSeq and is a predicted model, not a curated record. Lineage: Eukaryota; Metazoa; Chordata; Mammalia; Artiodactyla; Delphinidae.
GCGCUUGCUCUGGCAGCACACAUACUAAAAUUGGAACGAUACAGAGGUUAGGAUGGCCCCUGUGCAAGGAUGACACGCCAAUUCGUGAAGCGUUGCAUAUUUUU